CUCAUUUCUUCAUCUUCUUCCUCUUUUUUUGUUCCUUCGUUAUGUUAUAUGUCUUAAGUAUCUACACAUGUUUCAUUCGCUGGGAAUCGAAUUUGUUGCAUGGAAAAUCCCUAAUGUAUUGGCCUGUGUGAUUUGGCUUUAGGAAAGAAAGUUGUGCUUUUCUUCAUGUUGGGUCAAUGAAUAACCCUCCUGAGGUCAAAAUCUCGCAACUUGAUUUUAGGCAUUGAUUAGUAAAGCUUAUUUCUGUAUCAUCCUGCUCUUUCUUGUUCACUAUUAAGUUGUGUGGGUUCCUUGACUUGAAAGU
Molecule: long non-coding RNA, 304 nt
Organism: Neltuma alba
Lineage: Eukaryota; Viridiplantae; Streptophyta; Magnoliopsida; Fabales; Fabaceae
Exons: 2
Source: RefSeq, a predicted model, not a curated record